GCUGCGGUGUCCCAGUGGUUAAGGAGAUGGAAUUGUAAUCCAUUGGCUGCACAGGUUCUAAUCCUGUCCGCAGCA
Anoplophora glabripennis (Asian longhorned beetle) is the source of this 75-nucleotide non-coding RNA. The record is from the annotation of a RefSeq genome assembly. NCBI's taxonomy places the organism in Eukaryota, Metazoa, Arthropoda, Insecta, Coleoptera, Cerambycidae.